RNAcentral lists this ribosomal RNA (498 nucleotides) under uncultured bacterium. RNAcentral's name for it is "partial 16S ribosomal RNA". It matches the Rfam family "Bacterial small subunit ribosomal RNA", at positions 30 to 523 of the family's 1533-position model. The record is from RNAcentral.
AUUGAACGCUGGCGGCAUGCCUUACACAUGCAAGUCGAACGGUAACAGGUCUUCGGAUGCUGACGAGUGGCGAACGGGUGAGUAAUACAUCGGAACGUGCCUAGUAGUGGGGGAUAACUACUCGAAAGAGUGGCUAAUACCGCAUGAGAUCUACGGAUGAAAGCAGGGGAUCGCAAGACCUUGUGCUACUAGAGCGGCCGAUGGCAGAUUAGGUAGUUGGUGGGAUAAAAGCUUACCAAGCCGACGAUCUGUAGCUGGUCUGAGAGGACGAUCAGCCACACUGGGACUGAGACACGGCCCAGACGCCUACGGGAGGAAGCAGUGGGGAAUUUUGGACAAUGGGCGAAAGCCUGAUCCAGCAAUGCCGCGUGCAGGAUGAAGGCCUUCGGGUUGUAAACUGCUUUUGUACGGAACGAAAAGCCCCGGGUUAAUACCCUGGGGUCAUGACGGUACCGUAAGAAUAAGCACCGGCUAACUACGUGCCAGCCGCCGCAGUAA